CGGACGGGUGAGUAACGCGUGGGUAACCUGCCUUGCUCAGGGGGAUAACAGUCAGAAAUGACUGCUAAUACCGCAUAAGCGCACAGGACCGCAUGGUCCGGUGUGAAAAACUCCGGUGGUAUUAGAUGGACCCGCGUUGGAUUAGCUUGUUGGCAGGGUAACGGCCUACCAAGGCAACGAUCCAUAGCCGGCCUGAGAGGGUGAACGGCCACAUUGGGACUGAGACACGGCCAGACUCCUACGGGAGGCAGCAGUGGGGAAUAUUGCACAAUGGGGGAAACCCUGAUGCAGCGACGCCGCGUGAAGGAAGAAGUAUCUCGGUAUGUAAACUUCUAUCAGCAGGGAAGAAAAUGACGGUACCUGACUAAGAAGCCCCGGCUAACUACGUGCCAGCAGCCGCGGUAAUACGUAGGGGGCAAGCGUUAUCCGGAUUUACUGGGUGUAAAGGGAGCGUAGACGGAUGGACAAGUCUGAUGUGAAAGGCUGGGGCUCAACCCCGGGACUGCAUUGGAAACUGCCCGUCUUGAGUGCCGGAGAGGUAAGCGGAAUUCCUAGUGUAGCGGUGAAAUGCGUAGAUAUUAGGAGGAACACCAGUGGCGAAGGCGGCUUACUGGACGGUAACUGACGUUGAGGCUCGAAAGCGUGGGGAGCAAACAGGAUUAGAUACCCUGGUAGUCCACGCGGUAAACGAUGAAUGCUA
This 700-nucleotide ribosomal RNA is filed under the name uncultured bacterium. RNAcentral describes it as "bacterial SSU rRNA". It matches the Rfam family "Bacterial small subunit ribosomal RNA", at positions 99 to 818 of the family's 1533-position model. The record is from RNAcentral.